UACGUAGGGUGCGAGCGUUAAUCGGAAUUACUGGGCGUAAAGGGAGCGCAGGCGGUUAUAUAAGACAGAUGUGAAAUCCCCGGGCUCAACCUGGGAACUGCGUUUGUGACUGUAUGACUAGAGUACGGUAGAGAGGGGUGGAAUUCCUGGUGUAGCAGUGAAAUGCGUAGAUAUCAGGAGGAACAUCGAUGGCGAAGGCAGCCCCUUGGACCUGUACUGACGCUCAUGCACGAAAGCGUGGGGAGCAAACAGG
RNAcentral lists this ribosomal RNA (253 nucleotides) under uncultured bacterium. RNAcentral's name for it is "partial 16S ribosomal RNA". It matches the Rfam family "Bacterial small subunit ribosomal RNA", at positions 524 to 776 of the family's 1533-position model. The record is from RNAcentral.